GCGUCAAAUGAAGCUGAGAGGGAGGAGCAGCAGGAGCAGGAAGAAAAAGGGAGCUUUGAAAGCUUAUAGAGCUGGCCGGAAGGACCUGGCAGAAGUGGGGGGCCUGAUGUCCCUUUUGCAAAGCUCCCCGGGGAGGCUGUCUUGUAAGGGAUGCUUCCAUCUCUUGUCAUCUCAAGAUUCCCCUGGGGAGGCAUGCAAGACAGCAUCUGCUAGAGUUCACCAGCCAUGCGGGAAGACUGUGGAAGGUGCUCCUCUCACCAUGAAUCCAGCACUUUCCCUGGCUCUUCUGACCAGCCCACUCUACCUUUGGCCUCCACUCUGCCAGCAGAACCUGCAUCUGCCUUGACCAGAACUCCACUAGGCCCUUUUUCCACGAGCUCAGCUCUAGCUCACUCCUGUUUCCCAUCUACCAACUCAGGCCACAGCCCCACGAGCUGUCGCAUUGCGUUCCUCAGCAAAUCUAUGAAUUAUCCUUUUGUUGGUUUGAGUCAAGGGUGGAGGAAAUGCCCUGUAGAAAGUUCCAACCAUGCCAGGUCUUCGUUUUCUUACUGGACAUGGGCUAGUUUAGGAGCAUCAUGUGAUGGAGCAUAAAGGGUGGACUUUGAGGACAACCGGGUCUGGGGUUGAACGAAAGCUUAGCCAUUCGUGAACUGCCUGAUCUAAGACAUGUUCUUAACCAUUCUGAAUUUCAGUUUCUCAAUCCGGGUAAAGAGAAUAAUAAGAUUUACCAGUAGGAGUUAUAGGACUUAGUUUCUUUUCUGGUUCUCUGAUCUACUCUCUAAUUUUUGCAAGUCAUGUGACCUCUUCAGACCUACCUAUCUUUGAGCGAAAAUGAAGGUCUUAUUGGUUCUCCAAAGGAAUAUGAUUUUGUCCCACCCGGGGGCAUCUGAAAGUGUGUGUGGUGUUUUUUGAUUGUCAUGAAACUAAGGGAAUCAAGAACGUAAAGUGCUCUGUAAGGGGGAGGACAGUCCCAUACAACAGAGAAUUGUUCCAUCAGAAAAUCAACGUAGCCCUGUUGUGAAACCCAAUUAGAACAUCUCUGAAGUCUUUGUCACCUUAACAUUUCAUCAUUUUACUCUAUGUCAUUGUUUCCUUACAAUUAUGAUGGAUGAACUAGAUAACUAAAUGCUAUGAGCCACCCUGCCACACAUGAGCAUGUUUAUCAAAAUGAAGGAUGGUGGAAUAAAGAACUGGCUUUUUUUGGGUUGGAGUAAAGGGCUCAAGGCAAGUCUCAGAGCGUGUGAGACAGAAGCUUCCCUGGAAAUAUUUCCUAAAGUGCUCACUAUGGAAAGUAAAGGAAACCUAUAUUUCAUGAGCAGAGUUGCAGGAGUAUGAAAUGAACAAUGCCAAAGGUGGAUGAAGACCCACCUUGUGGAUAAUCACAAAGUGGAGGUACAGCACUCUUUAUGGAUCCUGAGAACAAAGCUGGCUGACAUGAAGCCUGACCUGAAGAAGACUGCCGUCAGAGCUGAAGCCCUUGGCACCUCAAGGCCUCUCUGGCUUAGCACUAUUUGGGAUUUGUCAACCCAUUCCUGCAAGAAGUCAAUGAUGACCUUUAGAAUUUCGUUCCACAGAACACACUUUAGAGUGAUGACAUAGACAUGAGAAAACUGAAGAAUCUGCUGAGUAACAAGUUGGAUCAAGAUCUAUUUGAAUCUAAAACGAACAGGGGUUAAGUUCUUCAAGGGAAUGCUCAAAGAAUCCUGUACACUGAGAGUCAGGAGCUGAAUGUGGAAUUGGCAUCAUCUCUCAUAUCUCACACGGGGGACGUGCUCUGAAGAGCGACGGCAGAAGGCUGAGAAUUACAG
Molecule: long non-coding RNA, 1808 nt
Filed under: Equus caballus (horse)
Lineage: Eukaryota; Metazoa; Chordata; Mammalia; Perissodactyla; Equidae
Description: lncRNA (ENSECAG00000043071.2)
Source: RNAcentral